This is a non-coding RNA of Aedes aegypti (yellow fever mosquito), 75 nucleotides long. The record is from Rfam. Lineage: Eukaryota; Metazoa; Arthropoda; Insecta; Diptera; Culicidae.
CGUUCUGUGGCGUAGUUGGUCAACGCGCCCAGUCUAGCGUAUUGGUAGUCGUGGGAUCGAAGCGCACCAGAACGA